GAUGAACGCUGGCGGCGUGCCUAAUACAUGCAAGUCGAGCGAACGGACGAGAAGCUUGCUUCUCUGAUGUUAGCGGCGGACGGGUGAGUAACACGUGGAUAACCUACCUAUAAGACUGGGAUAACUUCGGGAAACCGGAGCUAAUACCGGAUAAUAUUUUGAACCGCAUGGUUCAAAAGUGAAAGACGGUCUUGCUGUCACUUAUAGAUGGAUCCGCGCUGCAUUAGCUAGUUGGUAAGGUAACGGCUUACCAAGGCAACGAUGCAUAGCCGACCUGAGAGGGUGAUCGGCCACACUGGAACUGAGACACGGUCCAGACUCCUACGGGAGGCAGCAGUAGGGAAUCUUCCGCAAUGGGCGAAAGCCUGACGGAGCAACGCCGCGUGAGUGAUGAAGGUCUUCGGAUCGUAAAACUCUGUUAUUAGGGAAGAACAUAUGUGUAAGUAACUGUGCACAUCUUGACGGUACCUAAUCAGAAAGCCACGGCUAACUACGUGCCAGCAGCCGCGGUAAUACGUAGGUGGCAAGCGUUAUCCGGAAUUAUUGGGCGUAAAGCGCGCGUAGGCGGUUUUUUAAGUCUGAUGUGAAAGCCCACGGCUCAACCGUGGAGGGUCAUUGGAAACUGGAAAACUUGAGUGCAGAAGAGGAAAGUGGAAUUCCAUGUGUAGCGGUGAAAUGCGCAGAGAUAUGGAGGAACACCAGUGGCGAAGGCGACUUUCUGGUCUGUAACUGACGCUGAUGUGCGAAAGCGUGGGGAUCAAACAGGAUUAGAUACCCUGGUAGUCCACGCCGUAAACGAUGAGUGCUAAGUGUUAGGGGGUUUCCGCCCCUUAGUGCUGCAGCUAACGCAUUAAGCACUCCGCCUGGGGAGUACGACCGCAAGGUUGAAACUCAAAGGAAUUGACGGGGACCCGCACAAGCAGUGGAGCAUGUGGUUUAAUUCGAAGCAACGCGAAGAACCUUACCAAAUCUUGACAUCCUUCGACAACUCUAGAGAUAGAGCCUUCCCCUUCGGGGGACAAAGUGACAGGUGGUGCAUGGUUGUCGUCAGCUCGUGUCGUGAGAUGUUGGGUUAAGUCCCGCAACGAGCGCAACCCUUAAGCUUAGUUGCCAUCAUUAAGUUGGGCACUCUAAGUUGACUGCCGGUGACAAACCGGAGGAAGGUGGGGAUGACGUCAAAUCAUCAUGCCCCUUAUGAUUUGGGCUACACACGUGCUACAAUGGACAAUACAAAGGGCAGCGAAACCGCGAGGUCAAGCAAAUCCCAUAAAGUUGUUCUCAGUUCGGAUUGUAGUCUGCAACUCGACUACAUGAAGCUGGAAUCGCUAGUAAUCGUAGAUCAGCAUGCUACGGUGAAUACGUUCCCGGGUCU
This 1372-nucleotide ribosomal RNA is filed under the name uncultured bacterium. RNAcentral describes it as "bacterial SSU rRNA". It matches the Rfam family "Bacterial small subunit ribosomal RNA", at positions 28 to 1381 of the family's 1533-position model. The record is from RNAcentral.